GUCUAAAAAAACUAUUAAAUUAUUUGCUCUUCAACUUUGCAGAUGAUUUUAUUAUACUUUCAUUAAGUUACACUAACUUUAAGAAAAAGUAUUUGACCACUCAACUCUCUAUUUAUUGUUUCUCCUACAGGCAAACAUUAUAUAUUUUCUUUAACUACCAAGAGUGUGGACAAUACUUUGAAUAAAACUGAACUUUUGGCUUUCGCUCGACCCGAGUUUGGUUCUAUCUCUCUCUCUCUCACGAGAUGUCGGCAACAAUAAAUGCGGGCCGCAAGGCUCGAAGAAACCAAUUCCUGUGUGCUACACUCGACACCUUAGAGUUCGGUCCCGGCGACAAAUAGAGAGAUUUUACCUACUUUAUCAUUCCUGCUUUACAUCCAAAGAAUCAGUAGAAUCAUUUACAAAGUAGUUCCUCAUUAGUAUACCACUUUACAAUGUUAGUAUGUAGUCAAUUUAAUGUUUUGCUUUAACAGUGACAUUUUCUGAAUGUAUAUAUAUGUUCAUUUUACUUCAAACAUUAAAAAUAAUCAAAAUUAUGCAAA
Megalopta genalis is the source of this 542-nucleotide long non-coding RNA. RefSeq lists it as uncharacterized. The record is from RefSeq and is a predicted model, not a curated record. NCBI's taxonomy places the organism in Eukaryota, Metazoa, Arthropoda, Insecta, Hymenoptera, Halictidae.